GACGAACGCUGGCGGCGUGCCUAAUACAUGCUAGUAGAACGCUGAAGAGAGGAGCUUGCUCUUCUUGGAUGAGUUGCGAACGGGUGAGUAACGCGUAGGUAACCUGCCUUGUAGCGGGGGAUAACUAUUGGAAACGAUAGCUAAUACCGCAUAACAAUAGGUGACACAUGUCAUUUAUUUGAAAGGGGCAAUUGCUCCACUACAAGAUGGACCUGCGUUGUAUUAGCUAGUAGGUGAGGUAACGGCUCACCUAGGCGACGAUACAUAGCCGACCUGAGAGGGUGAUCGGCCACACUGGGACUGAGACACGGCCCAGACUCCUACGGGAGGCAGCAGUAGGGAAUCUUCGGCAAUGGGGGCAACCCUGACCGAGCAACGCCGCGUGAGUGAAGAAGGUUUUCGGAUCGUAAAGCUCUGUUGUAAGUCAAGAACGAGUGUGAGAGUGGAAAGUUCACACUGUGACGGUAGCUUACCAGAAAGGGACGGCUAACUACGUGC
Molecule: ribosomal RNA, 498 nt
Filed under: uncultured Streptococcus sp.
Lineage: Bacteria; Bacillati; Bacillota; Bacilli; Lactobacillales; Streptococcaceae
Description: bacterial SSU rRNA
Rfam family: Bacterial small subunit ribosomal RNA
Source: RNAcentral